This 344-nucleotide ribosomal RNA is filed under the name uncultured Sphingobacteriales bacterium. Its description in RNAcentral is "bacterial SSU rRNA". It matches the Rfam family "Bacterial small subunit ribosomal RNA", at positions 1039 to 1382 of the family's 1533-position model. Lineage: Bacteria; Pseudomonadati; Bacteroidota; Sphingobacteriia; Sphingobacteriales. The record is from RNAcentral.
UGCUGCAUGGUUGUCGUCAGCUCGUGCCGUGAGGUGUCGGGUUAAGUCCCAUAACGAGCGCAACCCUUAUCGUUAGUUGCCAGCGGGUAAAGCCGGGAACUCUAGCGAAACUGCCGGUGUAAACCGAGAGGAAGGUGGGGAUGACGUCAAAUCAGCACGGCCCUUAUGUCCAGGGCUACACACGUGUUACAAUGGCCGGUACAGAGGGCAGCUACCUGGAGACAGGAUGCGAAUCUCGAAAGCCGGUCUCAGUUCGGAUCGGAGUCUGCAACUCGACUCCGUGAAGCUGGAUUCGCUAGUAAUCGCGCAUCAGCCAUGGCGCGGUGAAUACGUUCCCGGGCCUU